This is a long non-coding RNA of Syngnathus acus (greater pipefish), 491 nucleotides long. RefSeq lists it as uncharacterized. Lineage: Eukaryota; Metazoa; Chordata; Actinopteri; Syngnathiformes; Syngnathidae. The transcript is spliced from 2 exons. The record is from RefSeq and is a predicted model, not a curated record.
GAUGGUUUGAAUAAUCAAUCAAAAAUAGUUUCACUGUCAACACGUGUAAUUGUUUUAUUCUCAACGAGAAACGUGACAAGAUUUGCCUAUAGAUAAUCGAGUUGCUGUUCCACCAAAAUUGCACACAGUGGCGCUCAUCAAUUACAGUGGGAUUGAAGCUGCCCAUUGAGGAAACUAUUGGACUUAGACCUCAUCUAGUCACCAUCAUCUGCAGAAAGGACUUAGUUGGACAGAAGGAGCCUGUUGGUUCGCCAUUGGACCCUAAGAUCAAAGGUAAGUAUAUUGCCUUUUGUCUUAUGGUUUGUUGUAAGGGAGAUUAUAUUAAAAUUUCUAGAUAACAUGAAAUAACAGAAUUGCCGUUGUGUUGAUAUUUGUCUGUUUUGUGCUGGCAUGUCAAUCUUGUCGAGUGUGUCUCAUUUUUGUAGCAUUACUUUUUGUCUACAAUCUAUCUAGCUAUACAAUCUAUCAAAUACAAUUUCUUUCAAAACCAA